CACUUCGUACAACUCGAUUUUCUUUCUACUUUCUCCCUCAUUUUCACGACAUUCUCUCUCCUCAUCUCCAUUGAAGCUUCUUCAUCCAAGCUUCUUCAUCCAAGCUUCUUCCUCCAUUAAAACUUCUCCUUCCUAGCUAUUUUUCAAGUUUUUUUUCAAGUUUCUUCCUCCAUUGAAGCUCGUUUUGAUCUUUGUCUUCUCUAUUUCUCCUUCAAUUGCUAAUUUGGAAAACCCUGAGAAAAUUGAGUUUGUAAACGUACUAAUGGAUCGCUAAGGUUAAAGAAGGGCAACAUUUAUUGGAUGAUGAGCUUCGGCUUCUUUGUAAAUCGGAACAUUUAGAAGAAUCUGUUCAAGGAGCCCCUAACAGUCAUGAAGUGCUGGGAGAUUCGGUAGCUUGGGGAGAAGUAGAGGUCACGGAACUUAUACAAAUGCAUAAAAAUGUUCAGGGCAUCCAGUUGUGACUGCAGAUGACUGGCUAAUGAAGGCUGAUAGCGCAAAUUCAAAGGAAGUCUGACAUAUAGCGAAGAGCAGGGUCUUGUCAGUGGAUGAAAUAACUUGUAAUAGUAUUAUGGUGAUGAUGCAAAAUGUGUCUUAACUAGUUUGUUGUAAUUGUAUAAUACCUUGUGCUAAACUAGUUUGUUGUUAUUGUAUAAUUUAUGGUAUUUUUAUGUACAUUUGAGUUAUUUAAAAGGAACCCUAAUGCUAAACCUGGACAGGUAAAAAUUUGAAAUUGUGAACGAAUAUCACAAUUUAUUUA
Spinacia oleracea (spinach) is the source of this 757-nucleotide long non-coding RNA. RefSeq lists it as uncharacterized. The record is from RefSeq and is a predicted model, not a curated record. The transcript has 4 exons. Lineage: Eukaryota; Viridiplantae; Streptophyta; Magnoliopsida; Caryophyllales; Amaranthaceae.